This 2422-nucleotide long non-coding RNA is filed under the name Elaeis guineensis (African oil palm). RNAcentral describes it as "long non-coding RNA (EGUI_LNC010405)". The record is from RNAcentral. Lineage: Eukaryota; Viridiplantae; Streptophyta; Magnoliopsida; Arecales; Arecaceae.
CAGCCAGUGUAGUAGCUAAAGACAUCUGGAUGGAUCCAAGACAAUGGACAGAAAGAAAUAUUCCACAUAAGGUUCCAACUGAUCAGCCACAGUCUGAAGGGACACAAGAGACUCAUUCAUCACAUGACUCGAUGUUCGAUACAUCCUCGUAGAUGUUCGAGCGACAGAUAUUUAGACGAUGUCGGCAGUCAGCAAGAAGACAUCCAUCCUUCCAAUCACAAAAAACUCAGUCACAGAGGGGCACAAAGAAGAAAAAAGAAAAGACAGUUGCACGUGCGCCACUCUCGAGAGUACAGGAGCAAUCUGUCUCAGAUUCGGAGACCAAAGAGAGUGAUGAUGAUACUGGUAGUAGUAGUCAUGGAUCUGAUGAUCAGAGAGAAACUGGAAGAUAGGAGAUCACUGUUUAUGAGACAACCGCAAGAUGAUAUUCGAUUCACCGAUGAAUCUCAGUUUACACAUGCCACACAAGAUAGGAACCAUGGUGGAUGAGUUGAUAGAGACCGUGGGGAGCCGAUUUCAUAUAGACGACGGGCUCCUAGAGGUCGUCCAGUACACGAUGCAGCUGCAGACGAUUUUACACAUGAAGUAGGAUCCAUGGAUGUAUCUGGAUCAUCCUCGCAUUAUGGAUCCUAUUAUCCGCAGCCACCUUAUGAUCCAUAUGGAUAUGGUGCAUCCGAGGCAUCGUCUUCUAGUGAUUACUAUCCUAUGCAGCCUGAAGCAUCUUACGGAUCAGAUUUUGCUACCUAAACUCCUCCACAGCCAUACCAUCAUCCUGAGGAUACUUCUCAGAGCCAGAGUUUGAGUGAGAGAUCUGANNNNNNNNNNNNNNNNNNNNAUGCUGCACAUUGCAUUGAUCUUAUGUUGAUGAAUAUUGAAAAGAUUCGUAGAGUGCAGCAGGUAGUGGAGAUUGCCCAGACUAUUACUAGAUUCAUCUACAAUCACACAUGGGUUUUUUCAUUGAUGCAGACGUAUACUGGAGGAAAGAUCUUAAGAUCAGAUAUCACACGAUUUGCUACCAACUAUAUAGCGCUUAAUAGUCUUCUUCAGAAGAAAGCAGUCUUACAUCAGAUGCUUGUCAGUGUCGAGUGGCAGGAGAGCAGAUAUGCGAAGACCGGCACUGAUGGAAGUCAUGUGGAGAACUUGGUGACGAGUCAGUCAUUCUAGCAGCGUCAUUCUAACAACGGGCUGAAAAGGUAGUGAAGGCUAUUAAGCCAUUAUAUGAGGUGCUUCGCACGGUGGACAGUGAAAAUACCCACAGAUGUGCUUCUUAUAUUACAUGAUGGAGAGGGCAAAGAAACAGAUCAAUGAGAAUAAUCCGAAGCAUACUCAAGAAUUCAUUAACAUCAUUGAGCACCGUUGGGACUAUCAAAUAGGUAGAUAUUUGCAUAUAGCCGGUAAGCACGGAUUCAAGAAUAUUUUAAAAUAUAUUUUUUUUAUGCUUGUAAAAGUGUACUUAAUCAGUUAUGAAAUGUAUCUGCAGCUUAUUAUUUGAAUUCGAGAUUUCAGUAUACCAUUUCUGGGAUAGAUAUGGAUAACGAGCUUCUUGCUGCUCUUAGUAAUAUGAUAUAUAAGAUGAUGUCCGAUCCAGAAAUCGCAUCAUUGUGUCUGCAAGAGGUAUACUAGUUUACAACAGAUGUGAUUAUUCAACUGAAUUCGAUCUGUACUCAACGAUAUAUUUAUAAAUUUAAUAAAUAUAUUUUUUUGCAGAUGAAAUAAUUUAGAGAGGGAUCAGACAGCUUUGGAAUCCCAUCAGCUAUCGUAAGCAAAAAGCAAAUGAAUCCAGAUAAAUUACAUAUCAAUAACGAGCAGCAUAGAUAGAUAUGUAAUUUUACUUAAUAAUAUCAUAAAAUUUGAUAUGUAAUUUUGCUUUUGUAGCUGAAUGGUGGAUUCAUUUUGAAAAGUCUGCAAAAUAUUUGAGAGGUGUGGCUGUCCGUAUUUUUUCUUAAAUGAUCUCUGCUAGUGGCUGUGAGUACAAUUGAUCGACUUUCGCCCUUAUCCACAGCAAACAAAGAAAUCGUCUAACACAAAAAUACCUCAAUGAUCUUGUAUAUGUUCACUAUAAUCUAAAAUUGAGACUAAAAUACAUUUAGAAGGAAGUACAACUAAAGUAUACUGAUCCGACACUAGAUGAUUAUGCUGACGAAGACGACGAUUCGAUCAUCGGAUGGCUUGCAGGUCAGCAGCAGGAGCCAGAGCUUGAUGAACCGGAGUCUCCUCCACGACCAGCCAGUGUGAUAGCUAAAGAGAUCUGGAUGGAUCCAGGACAAUGGACAGAAAAAAAUAUUCCACAAAAGGUUCCAGCUGAUCAGCCACAGUCUGAAGGGACACAGGAGACUCAUUCAUCACAUGACUCGAUGUCCGAUAUAUCCUCGUAAAUGUUUGAGCGACAGAUGUUUAGACGAUGUCGCCAGUCAGCAAGAAG